Molecule: non-coding RNA, 194 nt
Filed under: Tepidanaerobacter acetatoxydans
Lineage: Bacteria; Bacillati; Bacillota; Clostridia; Thermosediminibacterales; Tepidanaerobacteraceae
Also listed under: 1 other name
Description: T-box sequence
Rfam family: T-box leader
About the family: Uncharged tRNA acts as the effector for transcription antitermination of genes in the T-box leader family.
Source: RNAcentral
CUAGUAGCUAUGAUGGGGAAAAGUAAGCUUGGUUCUUUUUUUAGAGAGCCGGCGGAUGGUGAAAGCCGGUAAAAGACUUUGCCUAAUUCCACCCCGAAGCUGCAUCUUUAAAAAGAUGCCGGGAUUUUAUAUGAUUCCGUUAGAUGAAUUGAGUAAUAUAUAAGGGUGGCAACGCGAGUCCUCUCGCCCCUUUA